This 818-nucleotide long non-coding RNA is filed under the name Fragaria vesca (wild strawberry). RNAcentral describes it as "long non-coding RNA (FVES_LNC001718)". Lineage: Eukaryota; Viridiplantae; Streptophyta; Magnoliopsida; Rosales; Rosaceae. The record is from RNAcentral.
ACCAAACCAAAUCAGCCUCUCCAUUGGUAAUUGUAGUACAAUAAACAAACAAUAAUGGACCCAAAUGAAUCCUCUCUAUCUCUCUCUCAACUCUCAACAUACACAUAUGAUCCCAGCAACAACAACAACAAAAAAUCUAAAUGGAAUGAAUAAAAAUGCCAAUAAAAUUUAUGAAACUUCCAUAAAUUUAUGAAAGUUCCAUUGGUAAUUGUAGUACAAUAAACAAACAAUAAUGGACCCAAAUGAAUCCUCUCUAUCUCUCUCUCAACUCUCAACAUACACAUAUGAUCCCAGCAACAACAACAACAAAAAAUCUAAAUGGAAUGAAUAAAAAUGCCAAUAAAAUUUAUGAAACUUCCAUAAAUUUGACCUAAUAAAAGCUGCUCACAAAAGCCAAACUGACCAAAACAACAACUGAAGACACCAACACACUCGAUGCCGUUACACCAUACGCUCCGUUUCCUUUCGGUGCUGUUGAGUUCUGGUUCGACCCCGGUGGUGGUGACAUCACGUCCCCGGACGGAGUAUCUCCGGACGGUGUUGGUGCGGUCCCGACAGAGCUAGGAGGAGACGAGGUUGGAGUAGUAGUGGCUGCCGGAGCUGGGACUGGAGAUGUUACUGGGUUAGUACUUGGGGCAUGUGAGGGUGAUGAUGAUGAAGAUGGAGCAGUUGCUGGAGCUGGAGCUGGGGCUGAGCCUUGUGGUGGCGCAGCCGAAGGAGGAGUUUGACGCUGCCUGACGGCGAGAACGAUGAUGAUCAGCUUCUGACCAUUGGCGCAGUUACCAUCUUGGCCACUGAUGAAGUAGAACGGUCCAGAC